Numida meleagris (helmeted guineafowl) is the source of this 1959-nucleotide long non-coding RNA. NCBI's taxonomy places the organism in Eukaryota, Metazoa, Chordata, Aves, Galliformes, Numididae. The record is from Ensembl.
AUUUGGGGUGGAGCCAUAGGUGUGGGGUGGGACCCAUAGAUCCACGUCUGCCCCAUAGAUUUGGGGCUGCCCCAUAGAUGUGGGGCGGAGCCAUAGGUGUGGGGUAGGACCCAUAGAUCCACGUCUGCCCCAUAGAUGUGGGGGUGGACCACAGAUCCGCAUCUGCCCCAUAUAUUUGGGGCUGCCCCAUAGAUGUGGGGCGGAGCCAUAGGUGUGGGGUGGGACCCACAGAUCCGCGUCUGCCCCACAGAUGUGGGGCUGCCCCAUAGAUGUGGGGCGGAGCCACAGGUGUGGGGUGGGACCCACAGAUCCGCGUCUGCCCCACAGAUUUGGGGCUGCCCCAUAGAUGUGGGGCGGAGCCAUAGGUGUGGGGUUGGACGACAGAUCCGUGUCUGCCCCCCAGAUGUGGGUCAGCCCCACAGGUUUGGGAUCAGUCCCACAGAUGGGGGUCCGCCCCAUAGAUCUGGGUCUGCCCCACAGAUGUGGGUCCGUAGAUUGGAGACGACCCCAUAGAUUUGGGAUCGGACCCACAGAAAACCCCAUCGCUUUGGCUCUGCCCCAUAAGUGGGGGUCAGCCCCAUAGAUCGGGCUCUGCCCCACACAUGGGGGUCCGCCCCUCCCCCCAUAUACAGAUUUAUAUAAAACCUCAACAAAUGUAUAAAAACAGCAAAAAAAAUACAAUAAAACAAGGGGGGGGGGGGUUCGGGGGGGGGGGGGGUCUGUUUUAUGCCCAAUCCGGUGAUUUUGGGGCCCAUCCCCUCUCCACGACGUCCAGCAUUCAGGGAGAGGGUCCCUCCCCUCCCCCCCCUCCAUUCAUUGCCGCUUUGUACCGUUGUCCAACCCUUUUUUCGACAAGUCAUUUUUGGGGGGAGGUAUUCCCCACUUCUCCUUUUUCUCUCAUUUUUUUCAAGGAGAAAACCCAAGUUUUUGAUGUCUCUCCCACAGAGCCCUUUUUCUGAUUUAUGGAGGGUCCACUUUCGUAGAGAUUCUCCCACUUUUAGAUUGUUAUCCCGCCAUUUAUUCACGGCUCCUUUUUGGGGUCAUUUUCCUCUCUUUUAGUUUUUCUCUCGUUUUUUUAAGAAGGAAACCAGCAUUUUUGAUGUCUCUCUCACAGAGUCCUUUCUCCGAUUUUGGUUGAUCCCACUUUUGGGGGAAUAUUCUCUAUUUUUAGUUUCUUUAUCCUCAUCUUUUGAAAGGUCUCUUUUUGGGUCAUUUUCCCCUCUUUUCAUUUUUUUUCUUUAUUCUUUUGAGGAAAAUCCCCUUUUUGGGGGGUUCACCCCUUAGAGGUGAUUUUCCGAUUUAUGGGGGUCCCACUUUCGUGGCAAUAUUCCCUUUUUUAACAUAUUUUUUACACGCUCUUUUACAGGCCAUUUUUGGGUCAAUUUCCUCACUUUUAGUUUUUCUUCCACAUUUUUAAGGAGAAAUCCCAUGGUUUGGGGGUUCCCCACUCCCAGUGCCUUCUCUGCUUUACGGCAAUCCCACUUUUGGGGGAGAUAAUCCCAUUUUUAGCCUUUUUUUCCCCAUUUCUUGACAGGUCACGUUUUGAGGCAUUUUCCCAUCUUUUCGCUUUUCUUUCAUUUUUUUUAAGGAAACAUUCCCUUUUUAGGGGGGAUUUGGGGAUUUUGGUAUUUUUUUGGGGUCAAUCGGGCUCUUUUUGGGGCCGCUCACCCACGGAUUUGUCGCGGGACACGCGCCACGUCAGCGCCCCUUCGUGCAGCAGCGUCCGCUUCGUGAUGUCCACGUUCUGGGGGAAAAAAUGGCAGAAUUGGGGUCCCAAGAGCCCCAGACCCACGGCUGCCCCAUAGCAAUGUCUCCAGCCCCAUAGCAAUGUUUCUAACCCCAUAGCGAUGUCCCAUAGCAAUGUCCCCAGAAACUAAGCAACGCCCCAUAGAAAUGUCCCCAGCCCCAUAGCAAUGUCCCAUAGCAAUGUCUCCAGCCCCAUAGCUCUGCGCCCCACCA